GAGGAAAGUCCGGGCUCCAUAGGGCAGGGUGCCAGGUAACGCCUGGGAAGCGCGAGCUUACGACAAGUGCAACAGAGAGCAAACCGCCGAUGGCCCACGCAAGUGGGAUCAGGUAAGGGUGAAAGGGUGCGGUAAGAGCGCACCGCGCGGCUGGCAACAGUUCGUGGCAUGGUAAACUCCACCCGGAGCAAGGCCAAAUAGGGGUUCACAUGGUACGGCCCGUACUGAACCCGGGUAGGCUGCUUGAGCCAGUGAGCGAUUGCUGGCCUAGAUGAAUGACUGUCCACGACAGAACCCGGCUUA
Molecule: RNase P RNA, 303 nt
Filed under: unidentified eubacterium clone P#131
Lineage: Bacteria; Pseudomonadati; Pseudomonadota; Gammaproteobacteria
Description: partial ribonuclease P RNA
Rfam family: Bacterial RNase P class A
About the family: Ribonuclease P (RNase P) is a ubiquitous endoribonuclease, found in archaea, bacteria and eukarya as well as chloroplasts and mitochondria. Its best characterised activity is the generation of mature 5'-ends of tRNAs by cleaving the 5'-leader elements of precursor-tRNAs.
Source: RNAcentral